CCGCACUCUUAAACCCUCCUGGCGGCUCGGUGCCCCCCGGAUACGAGCGAGUGCGAGAGCACGCGCAGGGGUCCAAAGGGCUGCGCCCCCCCCCGUGGCGCAGCCUCAUUUCAGACCUGCGACAUCCU
Perognathus longimembris pacificus (Pacific pocket mouse) is the source of this 128-nucleotide small nucleolar RNA. RefSeq annotates it as small nucleolar RNA SNORA14. The transcript has a single exon. The record is from RefSeq and is a predicted model, not a curated record. Lineage: Eukaryota; Metazoa; Chordata; Mammalia; Rodentia; Heteromyidae.